This 26-nucleotide non-coding RNA is filed under the name Cricetulus griseus (Chinese hamster). Lineage: Eukaryota; Metazoa; Chordata; Mammalia; Rodentia; Cricetidae. The record is from RNAcentral.
UAAUGGGCUUGCAGAAAUUCAAGAUG